GGAAAGAUGGCUGAGAGGUCGAAGGCGGCUGAUUCGAAAUCAGUUGUACAGCAAUGUACCGGGGGUUCGAAUCCCUCUCUUUCCG
Molecule: transfer RNA, 85 nt
Filed under: Epulopiscium sp. Nele67-Bin004
Lineage: Bacteria; Bacillati; Bacillota; Clostridia; Lachnospirales; Lachnospiraceae
Rfam family: tRNA
About the family: Transfer RNA (tRNA) molecules are approximately 80 nucleotides in length. Their secondary structure includes four short double-helical elements and three loops (D, anti-codon, and T loops). Further hydrogen bonds mediate the characteristic L-shaped molecular structure. tRNAs have two regions of fundamental functional importance: the anti-codon, which is responsible for specific mRNA codon recognition, and the 3' end, to which the tRNAs corresponding amino acid is attached (by aminoacyl-tRNA synthetases). tRNAs cope with the degeneracy of the genetic code in two manners: having more than one tRNA (with a specific anti-codon) for a particular amino acid; and 'wobble' base-pairing, i.e. permitting non-standard base-pairing at the 3rd anti-codon position.
Source: Rfam by way of RNAcentral